RNAcentral lists this microRNA (22 nucleotides) under Eptesicus fuscus (big brown bat). Its description in RNAcentral is "efu-miR-9348". Lineage: Eukaryota; Metazoa; Chordata; Mammalia; Chiroptera; Vespertilionidae. The record is from miRBase by way of RNAcentral.
UGUUCUCCUGCUUGACUUUCUG